Molecule: long non-coding RNA, 1252 nt
Organism: Apus apus (common swift)
Lineage: Eukaryota; Metazoa; Chordata; Aves; Apodiformes; Apodidae
Exons: 4
Source: RefSeq, a predicted model, not a curated record
CCUCAUCACUCUCUGCUUUCUCCAGCAGCAGCUCCGGGAUUUCUCAGGACUGCUCCAGCUGAGGGGGAGUGUGGUGGGAGUUGCUGCGGGUGCAGGGAGGACACGUUAACACAGGCUGAAGGCCAACAGAAGGCACAUCCAGAAAGCUACUGGAGCUGGGGCCAGGCUUGCACGGUGGUCUGUGCAGAGCAGAGCCAGUCACACUGUGCAGGCUGGGAAGCAACGUGAUUAAUAUAGAAGACAUGAACAUGGCAGUGAAACCAGAGGGCUGCUGCCAAACUGUGAUGAAGAAGUAAAUCAGGAAGGUUCAUCUGACCCAACCUCCAGGCCUCCCACAGAGAUGUGGAUAUUUGAGCCAGACUCUCCGGGCUUCUUUUAGCAGCAGCCAAGAAAAAUAGGCACGUUCAAGGUAGGGUUCACCUCCCUCCACACAGCAAGGCUUGCAGCAGCAUGAGGAGACCCCAGGCUAGGCGCCAGAAAAGCUCCUGACAAGUGAACUGAAACCACUUGCAGAGGAAGAACCACAGCAGCAUCCAGCCGCUCCGGCACCAGGAGCACGGGGAUGCUGCCUUGGCUCCGGCACCGCCUGCUCUGCCUGGGUUUCUGAGUGCUGCCCCGGGCCUAAAAAGGGAAGUAUUUCUAAAAUUAUUCACUAUAAAAAGCAUUCACUCGGUCUCUGGUCAGAGGGGAGAGAAAAGUCUGUAAAGGGGCAUUCAAGCCACCAGUCUCUCUUCCACCUUAAUGUUUCCCACAGGUUUUGGAAAGAUCUCUCUUCCUGUGAGCGUUCCCAGCGCACAGAUUCCCGGCCAGUUCAAGCUUCAGCUAAAAAUAAAAAUGCUCGGGUUAACCUUGGGUUGCUCCCUACAGAAGGAAAUGUCCUGUCUCUGCUCAGCUUGCCAGGGGAAAGGAGCACUGUGGGCACUGCCAGAAGGAUGGAAAUUUCCGAGACCAGAAGGCUCUCAGCAAAGCAAGGCAGCCUUUCGGUGGGGUUCCCACCAUGAGGACUUCUGUCAUGUUCACACACUCCCAGACUACAACAGUUCCUCCUGAGUAUUCACCAUGCUCCUGUGGGACAAGUGUCCUGGAGUUGUCAGCUCAUGGAGAUCACAUAUGUUACUAUGCAAGGCUUAAAAAUAAGUAUAAUAUCCAAGCAAGGUGAAUGAUAGUUUUUUUGAUAACAAGGAACAUUAACAAAAAUAAAUAUAUAUGUUUCUUAUUGUGUUUUAAAACACAGCAUCCUUCCCACAAAUUA